Long non-coding RNA from Octopus bimaculoides (California two-spot octopus), 299 nucleotides. The record is from RefSeq and is a predicted model, not a curated record. NCBI's taxonomy places the organism in Eukaryota, Metazoa, Mollusca, Cephalopoda, Octopoda, Octopodidae.
CUCUCUAGGGAGUAGAGUCUUAGCUGUUUCAGGCUUUCCCAGUAGCUGAGCAGUUGCAAAGAGACAAUCUUCUUUGUGAAUCUCCUCUGGAUUGCUUCAAGGUCUGCUGUUAAUUUCAGACUGGUAGGUGAGCACAGCUGUGAGCACUAAUCCAGGCGGCUGAGGACGAAUGUCCUCCAGAGGAUCAUCAUGGUUUCCUUAUCUCUGGUUCUGAAUGUUCUCAGGAUCCAUCCAGCCAAUCGUCUGCACUUUGUUGCCAUUCUGGUCUCUCACUGAUUUAGGCUCUGGGAUUGAAAUUC